AUUGAACGCUGGCGGCAUGCCUUACACAUGCAAGUCGAACGGUAACAGGUCUUCGGAUGCUGACGAGUGGCGAACGGGUGAGUAAUACAUCGGAACGUGCCCGAUCGUGGGGGAUAACGAAGCGAAAGCUUUGCUAAUACCGCAUAAGAUCUACGGAUGAAAGCAGGGGACCGCAAGGCCUUGCGCGAACGGAGCGGCCGAUGGCAGAUUAGGUAGUUGGUGGGAUAAAAGCUUACCAAGCCGACGAUCUGUAGCUGGUCUGAGAGGACGACCAGCCACACUGGGAUGGAGAACGGGCCCAGACCCCUACGGGAGGCAGCAGUGGGGAAUUUUGGCCAAUGGGCGAAAGCCGGAUCCAGCCAGGCGGCGUGCAGGAGGAAGGCUUUCGGGUGGUAACUGCUUUUGUACGGAACGAAAAGACUCUGGUUAAUACCUGGGGUCCAUGACGGUACCGGAAGAAUAAGCACCGGCUAACUACGUG
RNAcentral lists this ribosomal RNA (481 nucleotides) under uncultured bacterium. RNAcentral describes it as "partial 16S ribosomal RNA". It matches the Rfam family "Bacterial small subunit ribosomal RNA", at positions 29 to 507 of the family's 1533-position model. The record is from RNAcentral.